RNAcentral lists this small nuclear RNA (162 nucleotides) under Manduca sexta (tobacco hornworm). RNAcentral's name for it is "U1 spliceosomal RNA". It matches the Rfam family "U1 spliceosomal RNA". Rfam says of the family: U1 is a small nuclear RNA (snRNA) component of the spliceosome (involved in pre-mRNA splicing). Its 5' end forms complementary base pairs with the 5' splice junction, thus defining the 5' donor site of an intron. There are significant differences in sequence and secondary structure between metazoan and yeast U1 snRNAs, the latter being much longer (568 nucleotides as compared to 164 nucleotides in human). The record is from Rfam by way of RNAcentral. Lineage: Eukaryota; Metazoa; Arthropoda; Insecta; Lepidoptera; Sphingidae.
AUACUUACCUGGCGUAGGGGACACCGUGAUCAACAAGGCGGUUCCCCCAGGGCGAGGCCUGUCCAUUGCACUGCGGACGGGUUGACCCUUGCGAUUACCCCUAAUGUGGGUAACUCGGACGCGUAAUUUUUGGUAGUGGGGACUGCGUACGCGCCGUCCCCC